AGAACGAACGCUGGCGGCAUGCCUAACACAUGCAAGUCGAACGAGACCUUCGGGUCUAGUGGCGCACGGGUGCGUAACGCGUGGGAAUCUGCCCUUGGGUUCGGAAUAACAGCGAGAAAUUGCUGCUAAUACCGGAUGAUGACGUAAGUCCAAAGAUUUAUCGCCCAAGGAUGAGCCCGCGUAGGAUUAGCUUGUUGGUGAGGUAAGAGCUCACCAAGGCGACGAUCCUUAGCUGGUCUGAGAGGAUGAUCAGCCACACUGGGACUGAGACACGGCCCAGACUCCUACGGGAGGCAGCAGUGGGGAAUAUUGGACAAUGGGCGGAAAGACCUGAUCCAGCAAUGCGCGUGAGUGAUGAAGGCCUUAGGGUUGUAAAGCUCUUUUACCCCGGAUGAUAAUAGACAGUACCGGAAGAAUAAAGACUCCGGCUAACUACCGUGCCAGCAGCCGC
Molecule: ribosomal RNA, 451 nt
Filed under: uncultured soil bacterium
Lineage: Bacteria
Description: bacterial SSU rRNA
Rfam family: Bacterial small subunit ribosomal RNA
Source: RNAcentral